This is a long non-coding RNA of Papaver somniferum (opium poppy), 1638 nucleotides long. RefSeq lists it as uncharacterized. The transcript is spliced from 6 exons. The record is from RefSeq and is a predicted model, not a curated record. Lineage: Eukaryota; Viridiplantae; Streptophyta; Magnoliopsida; Ranunculales; Papaveraceae.
CAGCGCAAUUUUUUCUUCUUCUGGCACUCAGGGGCUGAAAAUGUUUGGAUCUCAUGGUGUGGUCGAAGAGUUAAUCUGAAAGGACGACCGCCAUUGAUGGACAGCCUUGUCCAUCAUCAUCAACUCGGGAUUAAUCAUUUUCACCAGACUCCAGCCAGGGAGUGGUUUGAAACUGAGAUGGUGCUGCGUGCGAGUUUGGAGUAUUUCUUAUUUUUCACCAUCUUUGCCAUUAUAGUGAUUUGUGUUAAGGACUAGAAGGAUGCUAGGGAACAUUUGGACCAUGGUGGAUGGAUGAGGAAGUUGUUAGUUGGUGCUUUAUGGUGAUUAUUAUGUUUUUUCUUCCAAAUGGGAUCGUCAGAUCUCAUGAGACAAUAUCCAAAUUAGGCUCAGGAUUCUUUCUUCUCGCUCAAGUUGUUCUCUUGCUGGAUUUUUUGCUAUGAUGGAACAACAACUGGGUUUGAUAAGGAUGAAAGUCAAAAAGAUUGAGUAUGUUGGCUGCUAUGAAAAUGGGAAUCAUGAUACCAUCAACAGAUUUACCUGGUUAGGGUUGCUUAGUUAUUGAGUUUCAUACGCCUCCGGUUUGUUCGCCACUUGUUAGGCCUGUCCGGCCUGCUGAGCAAGCACCUGUUAUUGCUAGACAACUAUCUGAUAUUAUUUUAAGGACAUAUACAGUUUGGAUGCAGAUGGCUCAGUUUUCGAUGCUGCACUACUUUCAGCAGUUGCUGCAUUCUCUAGUUUGUCCCUGUCUUGUCUAUAACUGAUUAGGGGAAAGUAAUUUGCAGUACAUGAGCCGCUCAACAAAAGAAAGGAGGAAAUUUACUCUGAACUGCAUUCCAUUCUCAUUGAUGGCAUUUCAAUAUUUAAGUUUCAUUUACACCUAAAGUGAAAAAAACUCGAUGGUUGCACAGUUGCACCCUUUUACCUUUCUUCCUUUUUUCUUGUUACACUGUUAGACCCAAUUAGUUCUAGGACUUAACCAGCAUGUAUGUGUAUGACUCACAUAUAUAUGAUCAAAUGAAUCUUCCCGAGUAUAGUCUCCGAUAUUUGUCAUCCACCCUUGAAAAUAACCAUAUCACUAACACCUGUUGCCCCAUAGAAAGUUUUUUUUUUUUUCCUUUUCAAGUAACCAUAAAGGUUAUUUGGAUUCAGAAUUCACCACAAGAUUUUUGAAACUUUGCAUGGUGUUUGAAAGAUUAGAGGAUUGUCCUCAUAGAAUGGAAAGGUGUUGAAUAAUCUAAGUUCUGGGUUCAGGUGCACGGUGUAAGAAAAGUGUAGUUUGGUAUGGUAACUAGUAAAAUUUUGGACAAAAUGAUCCAUCUCAAAAGCAAACCACUGAAGCAGCAUACUAGAUGGUUUAACAUGCUCUAACACCCUCAUUGAUGAUGACCUUAGCUGUAUGCUCGUGACGCUAGUGACAAAACUCUGUUUGGCCAUUCGGCUUGAAUAGUUCCCAGCUAGCUAUUCAGAAAUUGAUAAUAAAGAAGUGGGGUUGUGUUGGACUUGCAAAUGAUAGAGAAAAAAACUUUUAUCAGAUUCUGAGCAAAGCAGUUUCAGACAUGGGAGUUGAUUAGGUUUAUGAAUAGUCUAAGAGAGAAAUCCUCAUGCUAAAAGCAGUUAGCACAUAUGGCUCUAUAAUUA